Long non-coding RNA from Oncorhynchus keta (chum salmon), 2310 nucleotides. RefSeq lists it as uncharacterized. The transcript has 4 exons. The record is from RefSeq and is a predicted model, not a curated record. NCBI's taxonomy places the organism in Eukaryota, Metazoa, Chordata, Actinopteri, Salmoniformes, Salmonidae.
CCCAGGAGAGUUUUGCGGAUAUGAACCAGAUGAAUGUCGGUUCAGGUUUUCCAAAUGAAACCCCACAGCACACAGCUUGGUCUACGUGAAAAUGUAGGACCAGACAUCUUACAAGCAGGAUGCUGAGGUGAUGAUGCCAGAGCCAGUGUUGAGUACACUUGUGGUCUAUCCAUCAUCAGGCUACUGCAUGUGUUCACAGAGGUUCUACUGAUGCCCUCUCUGACCGUGGAGCCUUCAGGACGACCAACAGCGCCACUGGCCACCCCACCACAGCUGUUAUUGUUUUGUUGCUGAGCUGAGGAGCGUCGCGCAGCAUGGUUAAAAAAAGAUCUGUAACCAUGAUUGACAGAGGAAGAACAAUGAUUCCAAGCACCACCCUCCUUUUGAAGCUUCCAGUCUGUUAUUCGAACUCAAUCAGCAUGACAGAGGGAUCUCCAGCCUUGUCCUCGUCAACACUCACACCUGUGUUAAUGAGAGAAUCACUGACAUGAUGUCAGCUGGUCCUUUUGUGGCAGGGCUGAAAUGCAGUGGAAAUGUUUUUGGAGGAUUCAGUUAAUUUGCAUGGCAAAGAGGGACUUUGCAAUUAAUUGCAAUUCAUCUGAUCACUCGUCAUAACAUUCUGGAGUAUAUGCAAAUUGCCUUCAUACAAACUGAGGCAGCAGAUAUUUGUGUCAUUCUCAAAUCUUUUGGCCACAACUGUACAACCAAAUACUUUAUAUUUCUUUAUAAAAUAAUUUACUAAUUCAAUGAAUCAGGGAUCAAAUUGAUUUAUUAGGCUAAUUCAAAGAAAGGUAACUAAGACGUGUUUAUCUAUAACCUUGUAAGGCUAAAAUAUUCUGGUUUCAGUGAUCUAUUGACAGCAUGGGAGAUAUUUGUCAACUAGGCUAUUCCAAGAAUAUAUUUUACAGUUGUCAGAAUGACAUAGCCAAUGUUGAACAGAGGGGAAUUCCAGCUUUCCACACAGAUUUAUUUUUCAGCUCCCAAUAUUCAGCGCUGUAGAGACGGUUGGUCUCUACAGGAGUAUGUGGCAUUGGUUUAUUAAAGAUGGAAUCUGCAGUAGGGGGAAACUGCUCCAAUGGCCGCCCUUCCACCGUUCGUAUAAUCUUUGUUGAUGAGCUGAGGAGUAUCACACAGCAUGUUAAACAUCUUGUACGGAUUCCAACUUUAAGGCAACUGCUUGUUGGUUAUUUGCAGUUUGAGUACCGGUGACAUUAAUACAUGAUCAUGUUAAAUUGAUAACUGCCGAGAUAACUAGCCAGGCUUCACGAUAUGUAGUUAGUUGUUAUGUAGUCUGUUGUCCAUCAUUAUUUUAUAGGCUAGGCCUACCUGCUGCAAUGUCUCUCUCUCUCUACUCUGGCCGACUCACACUGGCACACAUGCAGGUGAUGCGCACAGCCGCACAUCAUAACUUUUCCAGGAUUUUCAUGACUGUACAAACCCUGUUUGCUGACCAAAAUGUGCUUUAACUGUGUAAAUAACUCACUAAUUAGCACCGAAUAUCAACACUUGCACACACUGCUACACACAGCUCUUUGCUUUGAUCUGGUCCUUCUGUAGCUCAGUUGGUAGAGCAUGGCGCUUGUAACGCCAGGGUAGUGGGUUCGAUUCCCGGGACCACCCAUACGUAGAAUGUAUGCACACAUGACUGUAAGUCGCUUUGGAUAAAAGCGUCUGCUAAAUGGCAUAUAUUAUUAUUAUUAUUAUAUUUAUCUCAAAAGCUCACAACCCGGGAUGAUUGAAAGACUGCUCCUACCUGUCAUUUCAAUACAAUCCUACUGCAGUCUGCAGAAAUGGGGAGAACAGCAAUACAUCGCAUUCAGGGGGGACAAUGAUCCAACUCGGAUCCAAUUGUCAUUGUUUGAUAUUGCAAUGUUUUGUGUGUGAUUGUUUUACUUGUCCAUUCGGACAACUCAAAUCUAUAUUCUUCUUGUUCAACUUUUUUUUUUACAAGAGUUAAUGUCAAGCCCUGUAGAAGGAUGGAGAGACAUGCCAUAUUUACAGUCUUUACUAGUAAGAGCCCAUGUGCGAACUGCAGAGCCUAUGUAGGUUUAUGUAACCUCCAGCCUUCAAGGCACGCAAGCCUGGGUCUCGCCUGAUGUUGGCGGCUGACACAGAAGUGUGAAGACAGGGGACGUGGCGGGGAGGAGGGUUCCUCAUGGUGGGGGUGCCAUACGGUGAACAAAGAGACUGUCUGUUCCCUGGUUUGAGUGUUUGCUGUCAAACCAGCAAUUACGAGUAGGGGAGUUUUGAACAGGUUUUCGAUUGCAUUCGCUAAAAUAAACCCUACCCUAAUACUUUGAUAAAUGUUGU